RNAcentral lists this ribosomal RNA (253 nucleotides) under uncultured bacterium. RNAcentral's name for it is "partial 16S ribosomal RNA". It matches the Rfam family "Bacterial small subunit ribosomal RNA", at positions 524 to 776 of the family's 1533-position model. The record is from RNAcentral.
UACGGGGGGUGCGAGCGUUGUCCGGAAUCAUUGGGCGUAAAGCGCGUGUAGGCGGCUCGGUAAGUCUGCUGUGAAAGUCCAGGGCUCAACCCUGGGAUGCCGGUGGAUACUGUCGAGCUCGAGUCCGGAAGAGGCGAGUGGAAUUCCUGGUGUAGCGGUGAAAUGCGCAGAUAUCAGGAGGAACACCGAUGGCGAAGGCAGCUCGCUGGGACGUGACUGACGCUGAGACGCGAAGGCGUGGGGAGCAAACAGG